RNAcentral lists this unclassified non-coding RNA (2277 nucleotides) under Pollicipes pollicipes. Its description in RNAcentral is "rNA-binding protein 4.1-like, transcript variant X1". Lineage: Eukaryota; Metazoa; Arthropoda; Thecostraca; Pollicipedomorpha; Pollicipedidae. The record is from RNAcentral.
GUGUUGGCCAAGGGUUAAGAAUAGCCAUCCAUACUUCAGAUAUUGAAAUCAUGUAGUGGAAUGCAUUUUUUGAGAACAUGGACAUGAAUGUUACCAUGCCAUAUUUUUUCAGUACUGUGUUGGGGCCACAUAAUUCAUAUUCUUUGAGAUGUGGUAUGUCCGGUUCCCAUCUGCACAAUGUUCCUUUGCCCGUUCUUUCUGCCUUUGCAAAGGAUCUAUCACGUGAUUCCCGCCUCCAGACAGAUGCGGCGCCACAGACCAAGGUGUUUGUGGGCCGGCUGUCGGCGGCCACGAAGUCGCUCGACCUGCGGAAGCUGUUCGAGCGGUACGGCGAGGUGACCGAGUGUGACGUGCUCGGCACGUAUGGCUUCGUGCACAUGAAGUCGGUGGGCCAGGCCGAGACGGCCAUCCAGAAGCUGAACGGCACAGAGCUGCACGGCUCGCGCAUCAGCGUCGAGCCGUCCACCGGGCAGAAGGGGCGCGGCGGCGGCCGCGGCCGCGGCGGCGGGCCCAUGCGCGGCAUGCGCGGUGUCGGCGGCUACCGGGGACGCGGCGGCGACCGGUUCGAGCCGUACAGCCGCUCCUACCCGCCGGCAGACGGUUAUGGCGGCGGAUACGGCGGCGGGGGUGGCUACGGCGACGGCUACGCCAACAGCUACGGCAACAGUUACGGCAACAGCUAUGGCAACGGCUACGGGGCGAGCUACGGCAACGGUUACAGCAUGGACCGGCGUCCUCCGCCGGUGCGCACAGCCGUCGGCGGCUAUUACGACGACUACGAGCGGCGCGACCCGUACGCGCGGUCGCCGGCGCCGCGGCCCGCCUACGACGCCUACGACCGGCGGCCGCCGCCGCGCGACCCGUACGCCGCAUCUGGCUACGACACGCGCGCCCAGACCGGCUAUGAGCGACGCGAUGACUACAACGACAUGUACAGCCGCCGCUCGCCGCCGCGCUACCAGGCCGAGGCGGCGCCGGCGCGUGGCUACGAUGCGUACGACCGCUACGCAGCGGCGCCGCGCGGCGCCAGCCCGCCCAGACGGAGCUUGCACUACCUGACGUGAUUGCGCCCGACGGUGGCGGCGCAGCUGGCGUGAUGACGCGACGGCCGUCACAGCGGCCCGGCCGUAGGCACGCCAGCGACCGCGCCUCUGGCCGUCUGAUGAGAGGCCAGAGGCGCGCUCCUACUCUGGGACGGGGCGCCCGCCGGGCCGGCUCGGGCCGGCUCUCGGCUGUGAUCAACUCGCGCGUCGGCCGGUACAUCCACCCGUCGUGGCACCGCCGGGAGGUGGCGAUCCCGCUCUGAAUAUUGUGUGUUUGUGCGUGCGUGCGCGCCUGUCUGUCUGUUUGUCUGAUCGGGUGGGUGCGCGCGUGUGCGUCCGAAACGGCAGAAAGUGCGUCAUUGCUUAUCAUCGACAUCGGAGCACCGGAGACUAGGGAAUGUCGCCUGGAUUUGAGCCCAGGUGUCUCCUGCUUACAAAGGUCUGGUCGCGGUCGUCUGUUCCGGGUGACUCUUCAUCAUCAGCGCGCGGCGACAUGGGCGCAGGCUCUGUCGCCGAUGAACGCUGCACGUCAGAGUGGGUUUCGUGGCCGAUUCAUUCCAUGCCGCAUACGAAUUGCAUUACCAUCACAUGUUGGAUUGCGUGGGCUUUGGCUCGUUUGACGUGCUCUGAGUAGUUGGAAUAAAGCCGUUCAUUGCAGUAGUUGGGAUUUCCUUUCAAGAGUUUGACUGGUACCGUUCCGCGAUUGGGGGCUGGACCAGUGUGGCGCGAGCCUCGUGCAAUGUCGUGGGGAAAGGAACAACUCAGUAUUUAUAGCUCUGGCGGACUUGUGGUUUUUGCGAUUGAAGCGAAGAUCAUGUACGUUGUAGGAUUUUCGGAGCCGGGUACCGGCAGUGCGUCCCUGCCCAUCACGACGUGAGGGUCCAGGGAUACGGAAAGUGCCGACCGAUGCGACGGGCGCGCGCCGCGCUCAGCGUACGCAGUCAUUACUGGAGGUGCGAUGCCCCGAGUGUUGCGUACGGGUGAUGUCGCGUCCGGAUGCGGGCGCCGCCCAGCCUGGUCCCGCGUAGUCAGGCCGCAUCCACGGUCUGGGGCCCGACCUGUGACGGCGCGACGCACACGAACGGCGCUGUAGCUGUGUGGAAGCGCACGAAGCCGCUGACAAGGUGAUUUCGGGUCAAGUGCAAUGGUUUGAUAUAUUUACAGGCCAUACUUGUGUUUGGCGUGGCAUGCGAAAUGCAUCAUUUGCAUGUCCAAUACAGUACCUGCAGAAUCA